CUGGGCUGGCAGAGAGCUGGAUAAGGAGACAGACAGAGAGAAAGGACCUCCGAGAGCUGCUUUGAGACUGCUGAAGACAGCAACAAUUUCAGACUGUCAUUUCUGGUUGUCCUGGUUACUCCGAUGACUUUGCCCUGGCUCUGUGUGACCACUCAAAAGAACUGCCCAUAAGAAGACAGAUGGAGCCCCAGACCUCACACCCGAUACUUAUCUAAAGGAUGGGGAGAAAAUGCUGUCAAUCAGAUCCCCAAGGGACUUCGCUGAACCCAAGGAUUCCUGGGAGGUGGCCGUAAUGGACAGAUCACUGAUGACAUCUGCUGGUCUUCAAAGAAAGUAGGAUGGGAAUGCUUCAUGUUUGCAGUUUCAGCCCUGGGCCAAGGCUUUUUAUUUCAUAGUUUUGGAAGCAUAGCAACCUAAUGAAUAUAGCCAGACGCCCGGAAGUUAUUCAUGAUGAAAUACUUCACCGGUCCUUGAAGACUUGUGCCAGAAUCUCAACCCAGUCAUGAUAAUGGAGAGAAAUAAGGACAUCCUGUGGGGACCUACAGCUGGGCCAGCUGGGAUGGUCAGCCCACAUCUUCUUUCUUCUCAGCCCAGUAGUUCAAAGACUUAUCUAGUUCUUCAGUCAAAAAGUCUUAACUCCUGGACAAAGCUCCUCUACUUUCUUUUUUUUUCUUUUUUCUUUUUUUUUUCCAGACAGGGUUUCUCUGUGGCUUUGGAGGCUCUUGUAGAUCAGGGUGGUCUCGAACUCACAGAGAUUGGCCUGAGUACUGGGAUUAAAGGCAUGCGCCACCAACACCCAGCUUCCCUCUACUUUCUAUACUCGUUUUUUCCUUAUAAUAAAGCUCCUUGUUGAAUUUACUCUCCAUUGUUUGUGAAAUUCCCUCUUUGAGUUUGCAACACCAAGAACCUGGAAUAUCACUGAUUCUGUCGGGGUUUUAGUGACUGUGCUCCUGACCACUGAGUUAAACCCACUUGAGACUAG
Molecule: long non-coding RNA, 982 nt
Organism: Mesocricetus auratus (golden hamster)
Lineage: Eukaryota; Metazoa; Chordata; Mammalia; Rodentia; Cricetidae
Exons: 3
Source: RefSeq, a predicted model, not a curated record